AUCCUCCCCAUGCCGGGAAGGGUGAGAAGCUUCGACUAAGGUUCGAUUCGAGCGAAAGCGAGACAACGUUGCCGCAGGCAACGACCCGAAGGGCGAGGAGCAGCGCGACGAGUAAUCCUUCCCCCACCACCA
RNAcentral lists this small RNA (132 nucleotides) under Phytobacter diazotrophicus. Its description in RNAcentral is "RtT sRNA". It matches the Rfam family "RtT RNA". Rfam says of the family: This family represents a bacterial cis-regulatory element known as RtT RNA. The exact function of RtT is unknown although it is thought that it may be involved in changing the cellular response in relation to amino acid starvation. Lineage: Bacteria; Pseudomonadati; Pseudomonadota; Gammaproteobacteria; Enterobacterales; Enterobacteriaceae. RNAcentral also lists the same sequence under 1 other name. The record is from RNAcentral.